Molecule: ribosomal RNA, 215 nt
Filed under: uncultured bacterium
Lineage: Bacteria
Description: partial 16S ribosomal RNA
Rfam family: Bacterial small subunit ribosomal RNA
Source: RNAcentral
UCCCAGUUCGGAUUGUAGUCUGCAACCCGACUACAUGAAGCUGGAAUCGCUAGUAAUCGCGGAUCAGAAUGCCGCGGUGAAUACGUUCCCGGGUCUUGUACACACCGCCCGUCACACCAUGGGAGUCGGAAAUGCCCGAAGUCGGUGACCGAACCGAAAGGAAGGAGCCGCCGAAGGCAGGUCUGGUGACUGGGGUGAAGUCGUAACAAGGUAGC